GGCUAACGCUGGCGGCGUGUCUUAGCCAUGCAAGUCGAGCGGACUUAUGGGGUAACUUAUAAGUCAGCGGCGGACGGCGGAGUAACACGUAGCUAACCUACCCUCUGGACGGGGAUAACCUACCGAAAGGUGGGCUAAUACCCGAUGUAGUCAUCCUGUAUAGGGGUGAUGAAAGGUGGGCUUCUGUUUACAAGCUCAUGCUGGAGGAGGGGGCUGCGGCCUAUCAGGUAGUUGGUAGGGUAAUAGCCUACCAAGCCGAUGACGGGUAGCCGGCCUGAGAGGGUGACCGGCCCGAGGGGCACUGAGAUACGGGUCCCACUCCUACGGGAGGCAGCAGGCUAGAAAUUUGGGCAAUGGGGGAAACCCUGACCCAGUGACGCCGCGUGCAGGAAGGAGCCCUUCGGGGUGUAAACUGCUGUCGUGUAGGGAGAAGGGUACUAAGGUGAACAAUCUUAGUACUUGACGGUACUACAGGAGGAAGCCCAGGCCUAACCUCGUGCCAGCAGCCGACGGUAAAGCUACGUAGA
RNAcentral lists this ribosomal RNA (527 nucleotides) under uncultured bacterium. Its description in RNAcentral is "bacterial SSU rRNA". It matches the Rfam family "Bacterial small subunit ribosomal RNA", at positions 28 to 534 of the family's 1533-position model. The record is from RNAcentral.